RNAcentral lists this ribosomal RNA (775 nucleotides) under uncultured Neocallimastigales. RNAcentral's name for it is "partial large subunit ribosomal RNA". It matches the Rfam family "Eukaryotic large subunit ribosomal RNA", at positions 24 to 649 of the family's 3401-position model. Lineage: Eukaryota; Fungi; Neocallimastigomycota; Neocallimastigomycetes; Neocallimastigales. The record is from RNAcentral.
AUGUGAUCGUCUCUCGCAUAUCAAUAAGCGGAGGAAAAGAAACUAACAAGGAUUCCCCUAGUAACGGCGAGUGAAGCGGGAAGAGCUCAAAUUUGAAAUCUUAAAGGGUUUCCCUUUACGAAUUGUAGUUUAAAGAAGUGUUUUCUGUUGAGGUUUUGGUAAAAGUUCUUUGGAAUAGGACAUCAUAGAGGGUGAGAAUCCCGUAUUUGACCUUUACUUUCAACUUUGUGAUACACUUUCAAAGAGUCGGAUUGUUUGGGAAUGCAGUCCAAAAUGGGUGGUAAAUUUCAUCUAAAGCUAAAUAUUGGCGAGAGGACCGAUAGCGAACAAGUACCGUGAGGGAAAGAUGAAAAGAACUUUGAAAAGAGAGUUAAACAGUACGUGAAAUUGUCAAAAGGGAAGCGUUUGACACCAGUGUUGUUUUUCUGAAAAUCAAUUAAAGAACUGUUUAUGCUAAGUUGUUUAGACUUUAUCAGCUAACUGUUUAGUUUUGAGCUUUUCUUUAAUGCACUUUUCAGUUAACAAGUCAACAUCAAUUUCUUUUGCUGUAAAAAAGCUUGAGGAAGGUGGCUUGAGAUUCGUCUUAAGUGUUUAUAGCCUCUUGCCUAUGCAGUCGGAGAGAUUGAGGUCUGCAGCGUAGAUCCUUCGGGGCUAAAUGCAUUUGUGCUAAGUUAUAGUAUUUUAUAGACAACUUGUUGACUAUGAUUUGUCUUGUAGCUUACCUCGCUUAUGUUAUUUUACCUACGCUUAGGAUGUUGAGUAGCGACAUACGCAC